Long non-coding RNA from Phyllostomus discolor (pale spear-nosed bat), 6016 nucleotides. RefSeq lists it as uncharacterized. NCBI's taxonomy places the organism in Eukaryota, Metazoa, Chordata, Mammalia, Chiroptera, Phyllostomidae. The record is from RefSeq and is a predicted model, not a curated record. The transcript has 4 exons.
GAGCCACAGCGGCCAGGGUUGAAAGUGAUUUUUUUUAGCCAUGAGUAAAUAUAUGUAUAUACUAUGCAACAUGAAAUGUAUUAAUCAUGGUGGCUUUUCAGAGCUCAUCCUCCACUAGCCUGGGCAAGUGUCUGAGCUCUCUCUAAAGCCACAUUGUGGCUACUGCACACUUGUAAUUGGCUAGCCUGAAUUGAGAUGUGUUGCAAGUGUAAUGUACACACCUGAUUUCAAACUUAGUAUGAAGAAAAGAAUAUAAAAUACCUCUACAUAAAAUAAUAAAAAUUAAUCAUUUUCAUAUUGAUUACAUAUUGAAAUAUUUUGGGUGUAUCAGGUUAUGUAAAGCCAAACUUACAAAAAAGCUCCCUUAAGGGAUUUCAGCCUCCUGGCACACUUCCACAUGCCAAACACUUCCACAUGCCAACUACCGCCUUCUGUUAAAUGGAAAUGAUCGUUACAGGCAGGGGCUGUGGAUUACUUCUUUCAUUUUCCUCCAUAGCACCUGGUGCAUUGCUCUGCAUGAAAGUUGAUAACCAGCUGGCUAACUGUGGAUCCUGUUGGUAGGGGACUGAGUUUUCUCUCACUUAUCUUCUAUAGCCCUGCUAUCACUAAAUACUUUAAGUCCCCCUCACUGCCUGAGUCAGGACACAUGCACCCUGUCCAUUUCUAUAUGCUCAGACACCACAGUAAAACAAAGACCCUACCUAUCUUUUUAUAUUUUUAACCCUUUCUUCCAUAAGGAGGUUAGCAUUAAGCAAAUGGUGGGUUGGAAGGGUAGUGAAAGAACAAAUUUAAAAGAAUAGAAGAAACAAAUUCAUUCAUUCCAUGCUCAAUAUGCCUGACUAUAAUCACUCUGCAAGAAAUGAAUGUUGCCUUUGGACAGAGACCAGCAGGAAAAUGGCUAAUGAUAAUGCUGGACAGAAUUCCAGGUGACCACAGUAAAUGCCCAAGGAAGCCCAUGUUUGUUUACUUUCACUAACACAGCCCAUUAAGUGUCUCACUUUUAAAAUGUAUGCUGCUCUCAGUGGCUAAAUAGAUGGCAAUACUAGUAAAGGAAGUCAUUGAUGUCUCUGGAAAUCCAUCAUCUUUUGGCUCACCAGCCAAUGAGCAUCCUACCUCACAACUGAUAUAAUGCACCUUCUGCAAGACAGCAGUCUCUUGGCACUGCUCCCCUUUGAAGGAAAGCCUGAAAUGAACUCCUGCUAAAGUAGCAUAUUGAACAAGCCCAUUUUUAUUUCCAAGGCCUUCUCAGUUGAUCCAUGGUACACCCAUCUUCAUGGAAGUGACUAUUGCAGGCUAGAAUUACAACUUCCUUCUGACAGCAGAAUGCACUCCUGGAAGAACCUGACCAAGGUUAACCGAAUCCUUAAGUAGACAGCUUUCAGAGUGGCUGGGCCUUGUUAGAAAGGGUUGGCAGAACACCUGCUGGGCCCAAGGAUUUGUCUAGGCAAAAUCUGAGGGUUGGGGAGGCCAGAGGGCACAGUCCUUGUUCACAAGGAGUCUUUAUGCCUCAGGAGUUGGGUCUCCAAAGAGGGCUGUUGCAUCAUAUUGCCCAAGGCUAUUUACUCAGUUUCUCUUCUUGACAGUCAAGGUUAUGAGUCACCUUGCAUCAUGUUUAAGCAAGAAAAUAAACAAAGAACAGAAAAGAAAUCAAGGAUCAAGAAUAAACACUGUAAUGAUGGAAAGAAGAAACAUGUCAAACCCAUGCAGUAUGGUAAAGUAGCCAGAGCCAUAAGAGUGCAUUUCUAAAAUACCAGCUCUAUCAUAAAAUCCAGGUAAUCUUUUCCAAUUUCUUUAUCAGUCUUAUUUAAUUCUACUUAUUCUCCUCUUUUUCUAUAUUUUCUUCCAAUGAAAAAUAAAGCAGGUGGAAAAACUACAGGCAUACCUUUCCGAAAAAAAUUCCCCUUGAACACAAUUCCAUUGAAUCCUCAAUAUCCUUAUCAAUGUACUACUUACAAGAAUCUAAAAUACAGAUUGCUUGUAAAGUCCUCUUAAGUAUGCCAACUUCCCACUUCAUUCCCUUAAAGAGCUAUGCCAGGCUCUGUAUCAGAGACCAGAGAUACAGUGAUGACAAGACAGGUUUCUACUCAACAUCCCCGUGGCAAACUUUGACUCACUCUCAGGGAGCUCACCACUCUCCUUUCUGUCCGCACUGCACCUGGUAACACAAUUCUUAGCAUGCUGUGCUCUUAUCAACCUGUAUGGAAACUCUGUUUAUGUUUCAGUCUGCUCUCAAACCUUUAGAUCACAAAGUACUCGAGGGUUCAGAGCUCAGCCUGUAGUAUGUACUCAAUCAAUGAGGGCUGAGUUAAACUGGAUCAGAAUUGAUAACCUUCACUGUAAACCAUAUAGAGACAAACGCAUGUAGACACAGGAACACUGUACACACCUUCUGAAGUGCCAUGCUAAACAGACAGCCCAGUUCACUACAAAAAGGGCAUUUUACACAAUUGCUGAGAUUUAAAUAAAAUUUGUACUUCCAGACAAUAAGUUCACAUUCUGGGGCUUGUCAUGAAGUUUUAUAGCCCCUAUAUGCUCAGGAACUUCCUUUUCCAUUAUCCCUAGGUAAAGUUAAGAGUUUGGGGAGCCAGUGUAUGCCUCAGGUAAUAUAAUGAGAACCACUGUGGCAAUGGCUACCUUUUUUUUUAAAGAUGUUUUAUUAUUGAGUCCUGUUUUCUCUUAACUGUAUGAAUUCAACAUUGGUGACUAUUGAGAGAAGGAUCCUGUCCUCUGCAGGGCAAUCUCUCAAGCCUUUUGUGCACUUUCCAAAGUUAGUUAAGCAACUCUGCAGCCACACCCUGCUGAUAGUUGUGACGCUGGUGAUCCACGUGUAAGUUUGGGUGAAAUGCUUGAGUGCUGGGAGAAACACAGAGUUUGUAUAAUUUGAAAUAUGAAGAUAUUAGCAAAGCUAAAGAUUAACAGAAACUACUUAAAAACUUAAAAAAGAAGUGUGAAUUUAGCAUUUUCACUUGGCACUAACUCCCUUCAUGAAUGAAGUUUGUUAUUGUCAUUAACAUGUGCCUUGACUAUUAAAGUAAAAUCCUUAGCAAAGGAAAGUUGGGGUCUGAAGUGCAAAUCAAAAUUUAGAAUAUAUCCCUACAAUGACCAAAGUUUGAUAAAAGGUGCUUCAAAAAAUUUAGUGUAGUGGUUUAUAAAUUGCUUGCAGCCUCUAUUUAAACAGAGCCAAUUUUCAGUAGCUGGACAACAGGGAACAUUUUUAUCAAAUGUAGAUCAAAGCAAUCACUUAAUGAUGGAACUUCUAUACAUCCUUCAUUCACACACACACACACACACACACACACUUUAAGCCAGAACUACCAAAAAGAUCAGAAGGGAAUGUAUCUCACUUAAGAGUGUGUUGUAGGGGAAAGAACUUCCUCUUUGUAGGUGCAGAGCUCUGGGUUUGAAUCCCAGAUCUACCCCUUGGAAGCAAUGUGACUUUGGGGAAGUUGGCUUACCCUGUCUGAACCUGUUUCCUCAUUUCUAAAGCGGCAGGGAAAUGGAAGUAUAACAUUGCCAGCUUUGCAUGGUUCUUGGGAGUUAACUCCAGGAUGAGCUGUCACAAGUGAAAGUGAAAAGUACUUGAACUUUCUUCCCUUGAUUUCCUCUGCCCACCCUCUUAGGCAGAAGCAAGCAAGGAGCAGGAUAGCUAAAAGGCAAGAAGGGAAGGAAAAGAAGUUGACACAAAAGACUGAAACAAUACACAAACUGGAGCUGGAUGUUGCCUUUCUGUCCCUUACCCUUCCUUGACUUACCUGUCAGGAAGAAGUGUGAUACAAGUUUGAACACUGGGUUUAACUUUUAAAAAUAUUUUUGGGUGAUAUGGUAACAAGUCUUUAGUGGUCAACUUUUUCUAUGCUAAACCAUAAGAUAUUUAGUGGUUUAAAGGGAUCCUUUGGUAACAAACUUAUUGGGAUGCUUUGCACCGCAUGAGAACAUACGUCGUGUGUAUCAUUCAAUAAGUGCUGGGGAGAAGUUAAUAUCUAAUUGCCCUAAGAAAAUAUAUUUUAAAAAACAAGCACAAGUGAACAAAGGCCCACAUUGCUCUAAUAUAACUUCCUUUGUUUUCAUGCAUCAAGAAAGUUGUGCUAAGGCUGCCUUUGAACCCUUAUUAACCCUUUUGAAGAAAUAACAGUUCCAUGAUGGGUGGCUUUGGAAUCUGUGAGCCCUCAUUUUAGGAAAAUGCUACAUCACAAGAUCCUUUAAAAAAAACAAACCCCUCUUUCCAGGGUCAGACUCCACAGCCAAUCAAAAUAUUGCACCUUUUAACUUAAGGGAAAUCGCUAGAGAGAAGAUAGCUCUAACUAGUGUAUAGUUCUAACUAGUGUAUUGCGGGUUCCCCAAGCUCCACAAGACUUCAGUCCACGGAAAACCCACCACCCAUUUGGUGUUUCUGAUUCCUUGAGGAUACACGCCGAGGUGGCUGUGAACCAGUUACUGAGCAGGAAGGAAGCUCUGAGUGCUCGGUUUGGACUCAUUAAAAGGCAUGCAGCCCCUAAGUAAAUGUAGCUUCCCAUACCUGAAGAGAAACCCUCACAGCAUACCCGGAAAUGCUUACAAUUCAUUUCAGAUGAUACACAUUAUUUCUAAAUACAUCAUCGAGGGACUCUUUUACUUAUUUUGAAAUGUUCAAACGAAUGGAGAAGUUUUGCUUCCAUGUCGUUUUCAUUUUUCCAAAACGCAUUAGGCACCAACAUUAGUUGAGAACCGAAUCAUUCCUCAGCUAGAAUUGAGAACUUAACGGACUCGUCCAAAGCUUUGCGAAGAGAAUACCAUUUUUUAAAUUGCACUGUAGAAUUUUUUUUCCUUCAGACAAGAACACACUUAAAAGGAAAAAGGCCAUCCCCUCCUCCCCAGGCACAAAAACACAGCAGAGCCCAAGCAGCCCGUUUCCUACCCAGCCUGUACAAUAAUGCUUUGUAAGCUGAGAGCAGCGCCGGGUAGAGAAGCUAAAUAUAAACAGCUGAGAAGGAUUAGGCGGUAGCUCCAUUCUCAUUUACAUGAAAAUCCUCUAAGCAUCUUUUUUCCUCGCUGGCUGCGGGCGCAAAAGGAACUCUUUUGUGCCAUAGCCACGCAUACAUUUGCAUCCUUUGUCUUUACUUACCAGUCGAGGCUGUGGGCAUGUGUGCUCUAUUUCCUCCAUGGUUUCUGAGGGAGGCUCAUUGGAAAGGGAUUUUGGGAUACCUGUUUCUGACUCAGCAUCAGUGAAAUGAAUAUUUGACAUGAGUCAGAGAGAUGAGCAGCAAAGAGCUCCAGUUCUUAGCGCUCAAAGACACCAUACCAUAGUGGUUGUGCCUGUGUUUGAGAAGGUCCUGAAAGAGGCGGUUUCCUGGUACUGCAGCAAAUACUGCACAAUCCUGAGGAGUGCACCUUCUCAAUUGAUACAAAUGUGCUUGACUGGCAAGUGCUGGUGGAUAAUAUCAUCAUGAAACACUCAUUCAAGAUGAUGUCUCCACAUGCGCUAAUAAAUCUUCCAAACAGUAGCAUCCGAUGGGUUCUUCCUCCAUAACAGAAACAGAAGUGGACUCACUAGGUUAUGUUCUCUUUGAGUGAAAUGUAACUCUCUGAAUAACACCAGGUGGUGCCAAUGAGAAAUGGUCUUUCCAAAGGCCCAUGAGUGUAUCAAAUAUGUUUUUCUUGAAAAAAACAGAGCCCAACACUUUAGGAGUCCAAGUUCAUGUCUUAAAGUCUCUCAUUGUCUCUGAAUCUUUUCACAAGUUUCUCAACCUUCAAUUUGAUUUGAUGUUCUGUCAUCCUCCCAGGUGUUGCCUGAGGCCCACACUUUGAGUAACACUGUUUUAGAGCAAAACUGUGAAGGUAAAAAUACUCAAGAGAAUAUACAAAAUCUAUUGUCCUUUCUUUUAAAAGGAUACAAACUGUCAAAGGGACUCAGGAGUCAAUUUGGAGAGACUCCUGCCAGCCAAAGAUGGAAACUUUAAGCAUCAGUAAGGAUAAAGAACUGCAAUAGAUUGAAAUCCGUCAAGUAUGUUUAAAAUGUUUUAUUUAUUUUUUAGAGAGA